RNAcentral lists this ribosomal RNA (504 nucleotides) under uncultured bacterium. RNAcentral describes it as "partial 16S ribosomal RNA". It matches the Rfam family "Bacterial small subunit ribosomal RNA", at positions 29 to 523 of the family's 1533-position model. The record is from RNAcentral.
AUUGAACGCUGGCGGCAGGCCUAACACAUGCAAGUCGAACGGUAGCACAGAGAGCUUGCUCUCGGGUGACGAGUGGCGGACGGGUGAGUAACGUCUGGGAAACUGCCCGAUGGAGGGGGAUAACUACUGGAAACGGUAGCUAAUACCGCAUAACGUCGCAAGACCAAAGUGGGGGACCUUCGGGCCUCACACCAUCGGAUGUGCCCAGAUGGGAUUAGCUAGUAGGUGGGGUAAUGGCUCACCUAGGCGACGAUCCCUAGCUGGUCUGAGAGGAUGACCAGCCACACUGGAACUGAGACGCGGUCCAGACUCCUACGGGAGGCAGCAGUGGGGAAUAUUGCACAAUGGGCGCAAGCCUGAUGCAGCCAUGCCGCGUGUAUGAAGAAGGCCUUCGGGUUGUAAAGUACUUUCAGCGGGGAGGAAGGCGGUGGAGUUAAUAACCUCGCCGAUUGACGUUACCCGCAGAAGAAGCACCGGCUAACUCCGUGCCAGCCGCCGCCGUAA